CCGCAGAGAGGAGCUGGAGAGGAGUCACUAGCAUCCACUGUUUGUAGCUACGUUAGCUCUGUCAUUAACUUAGUUGACCAGCCUUAUUCUUACAGCCGGCUGGACGCACGAAAGCCGUGGAGGUCUGUCAGUUUUACUACAAUACAGACGAGUAGAGCAGUAGGUGAACUAAGUAACAUUUCGGGUGGAUGAUAUCAGCGGAGAUGUGUAAUAAGCUGCAUUGGACACUAAGGACCUACCUGUAUGCCAGUCUAUCAACUGACAGCUGUCACCGCACCUAGCUGCUUAGCUUAGUGAGCUAAGGGCUAACAAGUGUUUUUUCGGGGCUCAUAACCGGGCUAAUUUAGCCAACCAGCGCUGCUCUCGGUCCAGAGUGGAAAGCGGUGACUUCAGUGUGGACAUUAUAUCUUAUUAUUUCCUCAGCUAUAUUUGACUCCGCCUGCUGUUCAAACUAUGAGCUAGCAAAGGAGCGUCGCACAAAGGUGUUUGGAAUAUUUUGAGGUCCAGCUAGUUAGCUAGCAUUUAGCUUGAAGAUAGCUGGCUGCAUUCAUUCAAUUACUGUAAAACUGCUCCAGCGUUAACACCAGCACCUCGACGAACAGGGGUUGGUUAUAUCCACUCAUAUUUGUUGUUACAAUACGAAUACAUUUUGGACUUGUCCGUGCUUUGGUUAACCUCGGUGGGAAAUGAAGAAAUUUUUUGACUCUCGUCGGGAGUUGGUGGGCCCUGGGCCUGGCUCCGGAGUCGGCGGAGGAGGCGCUGGUUCCGGCGGCGGUGGCAGCUUCAUCGGACGGGUCUUUACCAUUGGACGAUAUCAAGUGACCGUCGAGGAAAUUGUCGCCGAAGGAGGUUUUGCCAUCGUGUUUUUGGUGCGGACCCACCAAGGCCUACGUUGUGCACUCAAAAGGAUGUAUGUCAACAACGAACAUGAUCUGCAGGUCUGCAAACUUGAGAUACAGAUUAUGAGGGACCUAGUGGGCAACAAAAACAUAGUUGGUUUCCUGGACUCAAGCAUAACUGCUGUUGGAGCUGGCGAUGUGUGGGAAGUCCUAAUCUUAAUGGACUUCUGUCGAGGCGGGCAGGUGGUUAACCUAAUGAACCAGCGGUUACAGACGGGCUUCACUGAAGCCGAGGUGUUACAGAUCUUUUGUGAUACAUGCGAGGCGCUCGCUCGCCUCCAUCAGUGCAAGAGUCCAAUCAUCCAUCGAGAUCUCAAGGUGGAAAAUAUUCUUCUGCACGACCGUGGACACUAUGUGCUCUGUGAUUUUGGAAGUGCCACUAAUCGCUUCCAAAACCCUCAGACAGAAGGGGUGCCAGUCGUGGAGGAGGAAAUUAAAAAAUACACUACUCUGUCGUACCGCGCUCCAGAGAUGGUCAACCUCUAUGGUGGAAAGAUGAUCACGACAAAGGCUGACAUUUGGGCCAUGGGCUGUCUACUCUAUAAGCUGUGCUACUUCACACUUCCUUUUGGGGAGAGCCAAGUGGCUAUCUGUGAUGGAACUUUUACUAUCCCAGACAACUCUCGCUACUCCCAGGACAUGCACUGUCUCAUCAGAUACAUGCUGGAACCUGACCCAGAUAUAAGACCAGACAUCUACCAAAUAUCCUACUUUGCCUUUAAACUGGCUCGACGAGAGUGUCCAGUCCCAAAUGUAAAUAAUUCACCUAUUCCUGCAAAACUUCCUGAGCCUAUCAGAGCCAGUGAAGCAGUGGCCAAAAAGAGUCAAACCAAAGCCAGGCUCACAGACCCCAUUCCUACCACAGAAACCUCAAUUGCACCUCGACAACGGCCCAAAGCUGGCCAGGCUCAGCCCCAGCCGAUAUCAGGCAUUCUCCCCAUUCAGCCAGCUCUCACUCCACGAAAAAGACCCAAUGUGUCCGCAGGAGCACCCCAGGCCAUAGGUGUUGGUAUCAGUGUCCCAGCUGCAGCUGCUGUCCAACCUGUCCAACAGGCUCUUGUAGCACAGGCUACACCACAGUCAGCUCAGACACCCAACAUGCAGCCACAGGCUACACCACAGCAUCAGCAGCUCCUCAUGAAGCAGCAGCAAGCCACAGCCUUCUUAAGCCCACAGAGUAACCAGCAGCAUCUACUGGUACAGAGCUUCCACCACCAGCAGCAGCAGCAGCAACAACAACAAACAGCGUCUCAGGUGUCUUCCCUGCCGCAGUCCAAAGCUAAGCCUGUUCCUCCAGUUGUUACCCUGCAACUGCAACACCAGCAGCAGCAUCAUGUAGCCCCAGUACAUGAAACAGCAGCUUCUCAUCUGACCCCCAUCCCUGAGUCUGCAGUCAUUGGUCCUGCAGCUGACCCAGAGGUUUUGUCAUCUGGCCGAGGGAUUCACAAAGUCGGGUCAUUGACACCCCCCUCGUCGCCAAAGAUGCCCACUAAGAGUGGCCACAGACGCAUCCUGAGCGAUGUCACUCACAGUGCCGUGUUUGGGGUCCCAGUCAGCAAGUCCACCCUGCUACUCCAGGCUGCCGCAGCUGAGGCCAGCCUCAACAAAUCCAAAUCGGCUAGCACCACUCCUUCUGGCUCCCCCUGCUCGUCCCAGCAAAGUGUGUAUCAUCCAGGUGAUAGUGAUGCCCAAGCUGCCCUUACUGCACCCAACACUCAGCCCAGCUGGAACCCCUUUGGGGAUGAUAACUUCUCCAAGCUAACAGCAGAGGAGCUGCUUAACAAAGACUUUGCAAAGCUAUCUGAGACUGCUGCACCAGGAGAGAAGGUCACAGGCUCCAGUGAAAGUCUCAUUCCAGGGCUCAAUGCUUUUCCAGAUGAAAGAUCUGCAGACGUCAUGAGUGCAGGUUCAGCGUUGUUGACUGCCCAAGACCCUUUUAAUACCGUCUCCCUCUCUGACACCACAGAGAAGCUGAUUGAGGGACUGAAGUCCCCUGAAAAUUCUCUGCUGCUCCCCGACCUCUUAACCCUGGCUGACCCCUUCAGUAGUUCUGCAGAGAGCUCCACCAAUGCAAAGGCAGAUGUGUGUGUGGAUUCACUGAUUCCUGGUUUGGAAGCCCCCCAGGCCCAGCGACAUUCAGGCCAGCCAGAGCUCAUCCCUGCCAGCAUGCCAGACUCUCUCACUGGAGAGGACUCUCUCCUGGGUUGCGAUCUGUUAUCUCAUACUUCUCCUCAUGGAAGCCAGUCUGUUUCUGGUCUCCCUUCCUCUUCCUCCUCCACCUGCUCCUCUGCUCCUCCGGGCUCCGGCUCUGGAUCCUGUCUGGAGGAGCUGCCGCCUGGCCAGACUGCUUCUGACUCUGCUUUCCUCAUGUCGUGUGGGGAGAAGGGCAAUGACGACGAGUUUGACCCUAUUCCUGUGCUCAUCUCCAAAAACUCAAAUCAAGGUGGUCACUCGCGCAGCAACAGUGGCAGUUCAGAGUCCAACAUCCCCAACUUGGCCCGCUCCCUUCUGCUGGUGGAUCAGCUCAUCGACCUCUAGAGGGGGUGGGAGAGGUCGAAGGGGCAGUGUGCAAUCCUAACAAAGGGAAGGGAGGGUGGGGGGAUAGAGAUGGGGAAGCAGAGGCACUUAAUGUAGCACCUUUUGAAGUUAAAUGGAGGAGCCAGCAUAGAUUGGUGCAGUGGAAUCUUUCUUUUUAUGUGCCUCCUUGGCCUCAACUCCAUCUCUAGUUGCCUGAUAAGCUGGUUUCAUAUAAAUCUGCUGGCCGUUGACAUUCCCACGCUGGUAAAAACCUUUUCAUUAAUGGCUGAGCAUAUCGUCUGCUUCUGUCCCGGCUACGUCAUGGUCUUCCUCAUGCUUUCCUCAUACUUGCAUUAAUAUCCGUCAUUGAGUGCACUGCCAUGGUGGUCGCCUUCCAUCGUACGCACGUUUCUGCUUGAUCACAGCUGCAUCGUGUUCACUCUGUGUACUUGUUCAGGGUUGAAGCUUUAUUUAAACACGCCACCUUCAGGCAUGCUCAUUUGUGUCAGGGGUCUGACUAAAGUGUGAGGAGUCAAAAUGCUUUUGACCUCCAGGAUAAUGUUUCCUGUGAACACUUUGAACUAAACUAUUGACCAAACAAAGACGCACCCUGGAGGAAACCCCUGAGAGCUGUUUGCACUGAUUGAACCAGUUUGUAAAGAAGAAAACUUCAGCUUUGGGCAGUUUUUACAGAGUCCUUAAACUGUUGUGGUUUACUGUACUGGGAAAGGAGACAGUCUGCGCCACCUUAGGAAGUCAAAUCAAUUUAAUUCUGUGCUCUGUUCCCAUAUAGACCAGUGGCCAUGUUUUUACAGCUAUUUAUCUAAGCUAAUGUAGUAGGAUGUAAUGUAGGAAAAGCCGUAGCUUCAGCAUAACUGUAUAUUGUCACCACGCAGGGUGUUAUUCCUCCUAAAACUACACCUGUAAAUCAGUCGCUUGUGGUGAUGUCAAAAUCCUGAAUCUGGUGAAGUCAGUGUUAACAUGGGUGAUUAAUUCAGCUCCAUUACCAUGGCAGGAUGCUUUCACUGGCAGCAUUAUCUACAACACUUUAUAAGACCAUUAAUAUUAUGUGUGCAUUUUAUAAUUACAUGUGUUUCUGUGUAGGGUCAUGUAUUUGACUCAUUGUCAAGAUAAGCACAGCGGAAACGAAAGGGAAUCAAAUAAUUUGACCUGUAGCCAUGCCAAAGCUAAAAGGACAGUCUUUAUUAUUUUGCUGUGUUUGGCGUGUGUCUGUCUGCUUUCAGGGUCAGUGAAGAUGAGCAGAUUUUUAGCAGCAUACCACUGUUAUAGAGAGGGAGGUACAAUGUAGAUUUCAUUGUGUUAUUUUGUGUAGGUUUUGUGCUAACAAAUAAGCUUUAAAUGAAAACCUCCCUCUCCCAUUGACGUACUCCCUGUCUUAUCUAGCCAACCUUUUCUUACCAGAUAUGUAGAGGUCACUUGGCCAAUGUGACUCCUUUAUAUGUACAUAAAAUCACUAUACAUUUAUUUUCUCAUUAGCACUGGUAAAAGUAGAUUUUGUUGUGUGUGUGUGUGUGUGUAAUAUUUAAAGGCAUUUCAUCUAUCAUGGUAUGAAUACAUGUGGCAAUUUAUUGAUAAUGCUUUAGAAUGAAUGUAUAAACUGCAACCAUUAUGAAAUAUGUAAAAUGUAUAAUGAUAUAUAGAUUUAAAAAAUAUUUAAAUAUGAAGCUGUAUUUAAGAGUGCAAAGAUGUUCACCCUUUCCUCUGUCCAAAGUCCCUCUGUCUUUUCUCUCCAUUCACGUCAAGCAUUCAGCUCGUGCUUUUGUUUUUAGGCGUCGUCAUCAAUUAAUGAAACAAAGUGCUUAUGACUUACCUGAUUUGGUAGUAUUUUUUUUUUCUCAACCGCGGUUCUUUACAUAAUACUGGUACUUGUAAGUUGACUGAGAUAGAUUUGUAUUUAACAGGCAGCAAAACAGAGCUAAUGACGGAAUUUAUUUCCUGAUAUCUCUGUAGCACCUCUCACCUAUGAUAGCUGUUAUUUCAUUAGGCUGAUGAUCAUAAGAAAGGCUUUUGUGACUUGAAAAACACAACUGACUUUGCAUUACAUCUUUGAUCUCAAAAUCCCACCAAGUAUUACCUUUCAUUCAGGCUUUUCUCUAACCAAGGAAGGUGGAUUGCGUAUAGGCAUUAGUCUCUUUUUAUAAAUGUCACCUUAGAUAUGUAUAUACAAAACAAUAAACGGUACACUUCUUCUCCUCCUCCCUCCAGUAUGACAUAUUGUAAAGGUCAUAGACAUCAACAAUACUGUAAGAAUUAGCAUGGUUAUAAAAAUAUGCUUUUUUCUUUACAUCUCAUAGUUCAGUUAAGUCAUUUGCAUUUUUGUGGCUAAUCUAUGCAAUCCUACAAUAAUGCUUCAUGUUCUUAUCAGACACUACAGUGCUGUAUCCUGUAGAGUUAUAGCCUUGGCCGUAGAGUUUUACCUGUGUUGCCAUGUGAAACCAGUGUACUUGUUGUUGGGUUGAUAUGGUGGCAAGUAUAAAAAUGACUUUGAUUACAUCAAAAUGUUUGACAUGAUUUGGCAAAUGUCCAUAUGUCAAAGCAGGACUAUUGUGGAGUGUGUACUUCUAUUUUUAUGAAUUAAGGUUCAAAAAGAGAGACACUGAAUAAAAGUCAUUAAUGUGAAUGGGUCAUAUUAUUUGAUUUUUACUCGGAAGGGCAAAAGAGCCAUCUGACUUUAUUGACAGUCUGAAGAUUGGCUCUUCCGUUUUCAUUGUUUUAAUUAGCAGAGUUUUUUCCUUCUGGGAACAAAAUUAGAUUACAGACACUCUGAUGUAACUUGAUGGUAUCUGCUCAAAUUUCAGUAUUAUUUAGCGAUUGCCUUACACUAUAGAAAUACGUUUGUACCACUUGGUGCAAGCAUCAGCAGACACUUGUCUGUCUGUACAGUUGUCCUUACAAGCUUUAAAGGACUAUUCCAGUGUUUUCUGGGUUUCCCUGUCUAUUCCUUUUGUCUCACCUUGUUAUGUCUCAGUAGUUCCUAGAUGUUGGUAGACAUGUGUUUUAAAAUCAUGUUACUGUUCACUGCUGGUGUGAUUCCAGGCCAGGGACCUUGAUAAAGGGCUUGUACCACAAAUAGACUAAACUGUAUAAUGAGGAAUUGAUAGCUGUUGUUUCACAUGAUUACGUGAGCAGUCUCUGAUGAUCUGUAGGCCAUUGUUCAGUUUGAUUAACUCUGGAGUGCAACAAUGUGAAAUGGGCUGUGGAUAGUUUAAAACAGAUACGUGAUGAAGGACAUUACCCAAGAUGUAAAACAAAACAAACACUGCUGUUUUCCUCUAAUGGCUGCAACUAACAUCUCCCCAAGAACUGCCAGUUAACAGCUGCUGUCUACUCUGCUGAGAUAUGCAAGGGGAGAGUAAUGGCUACUCUGUGCUUGCUGAGGGACAAGAGUCUGAACCUCCAAUGGGAGAUCCUCAAACAAACGAGGGGUGUGUGCACUCCAGCGACGAAGAUGAGGAAAAG
Molecule: RNA transcript, 6896 nt
Organism: Micropterus dolomieu (smallmouth bass)
Lineage: Eukaryota; Metazoa; Chordata; Actinopteri; Centrarchiformes; Centrarchidae
Gene name: AP2-associated protein kinase 1-like
Exons: 22
Source: RefSeq, a predicted model, not a curated record